RNAcentral lists this ribosomal RNA (512 nucleotides) under uncultured bacterium. Its description in RNAcentral is "bacterial SSU rRNA". It matches the Rfam family "Bacterial small subunit ribosomal RNA", at positions 34 to 518 of the family's 1533-position model. The record is from RNAcentral.
CGCUGGCGGCGUGCCUAAUACAUGCAAGUCGAACGGCUUUUCUAUGGAAGCUUGCUUCCACUGAGAAGAUAGUGGCGAACGGGUGAGUAACACGUGGGUAACCUGCCCAUAAGAGGGGGGAUAACAUCCGGAAACGGGUGCUAAUACCGCAUAGUUUUCUUGAUCGCAUGAUUGAGAAAGGAAAGAUGGCCUUUGUGCUGUCGCUUAUGGAUGGACCCGCGGCGUAUUAGUUAGUUGGUGAGGUAACGGCUCACCAAGACGAUGAUACGUAGCCGACCUGAGAGGGUGAUCGGCCACAUUGGGACUGAGACACGGCCCAAACUCCUACGGGAGGCAGCAGUAGGGAAUCUUCCGCAAUGGACGAAAGUCUGACGGAGCAACGCCGCGUGAGUGAAAGAAGGUUUUCGGAUCGUAAAACUCUGUUGUCAGAGAAGAACAAGUUGGAGAGUAACUGCUCCAGCCUUGACGGUAUCUGACCAGAAAGCCACGGCUAACUACGUGCCAGCCGCCGC